RNAcentral lists this ribosomal RNA (610 nucleotides) under Pseudomonas aeruginosa. RNAcentral's name for it is "partial 23S ribosomal RNA". It matches the Rfam family "Bacterial large subunit ribosomal RNA", at positions 742 to 1351 of the family's 2925-position model. The record is from RNAcentral. Lineage: Bacteria; Pseudomonadati; Pseudomonadota; Gammaproteobacteria; Pseudomonadales; Pseudomonadaceae.
AGGUUGAAGGUUAGGUAACACUGACUGGAGGACCGAACCCACUCCCGUUGAAAAGGUAGGGGAUGACUUGUGGAUCGGAGUGAAAGGCUAAUCAAGCUCGGAGAUAGCUGGUUCUCCUCGAAAGCUAUUUAGGUAGCGCCUCAUGUAUCACUCUGGGGGGUAGAGCACUGUUUCGGCUAGGGGGUCAUCCCGACUUACCAAACCGAUGCAAACUCCGAAUACCCAGAAGUGCCGAGCAUGGGAGACACACGGCGGGUGCUAACGUCCGUCGUGAAAAGGGAAACAACCCAGACCGCCAGCUAAGGUCCCAAAGUUGUGGUUAAGUGGUAAACGAUGUGGGAAGGCUUAGACAGCUAGGAGGUUGGCUUAGAAGCAGCCAUCCUUUAAAGAAAGCGUAAUAGCUCACUAGUCGAGUCGGCCUGCGCGGAAGAUGUAACGGGGCUCAAACCACACACCGAAGCUGCGGGUGUCACGUAAGUGACGCGGUAGAGGAGCGUUCUGUAAGCCUGUGAAGGUGAGUUGAGAAGCUUGCUGGAGGUAUCAGAAGUGCGAAUGCUGACAUGAGUAACGACAAUGGGUGUGAAAAACACCCACGCCGAAAGACCAAGGG